AAAAGUAAGCAAGGGCGCAUGGCGGAUGCCUUGGCUCUCGGAGGCGAUGAAGGACGUGAUAAGCUGCGAUAAGCUUCGGGUAGGUGCAAAUAACCUUUGAUCCGAAGAUUUCCGAAUGGGACAACCCGUCAUUCUGAAGGAAUGACAUCUUGCAUAGCAAGAGGCUAACGCAGGGAACUGAAACAUCUUAGUACCUGCAGGAAAAGAAAAUAAUAAUGAUUCCCCAAGUAGUGGCGAGCGAACGGGGAUUAGCCCAAACCAAUGUUGUUACGGCAAUAUUGGGGUUGUAGGACCACGAUGUCGCAAGAACUUUAGUGAGAAGAAUUCUUUGGAAAAUGAAACCAUAGACGGUGAUAGUCCGGUAUUCGAAGCUAAACGAAGCGUAGUGGUAUCCUGAGUAGCGCGGGACACGAGGAAUCUUGCGUGAAUCUGCCGGGACCAUCCGGUAAGGCUAAAUACUCCCGAGAGACCGAUAGCGAACCAGUACUGUGAAGGAAAGGUGAAAAGCACUUCGAAUAGAAGAGUGAAAUAGUCCCUGAAACCGUGCGCCUACAAGCGGUCGGAGCAGCGUAAGUUGUGACGGCGUGCCUUUUGCAUAAUGAACCUACGAGUUACUUUUUCCGGCAAGGUUAAGCAUUUCAAAAUGUGUAGCCGAAGCGAAAGCGAGUCUGAACAGGGCGAUUAGUCGGAAGGAGUAGACGCGAAACCAAGUGAUCUACCCUUGGUCAGGUUGAAGGUUAGGUAACACUAACUGGAGGACCGAACCGAUAAGCGUUGAAAAGCUUCCGGAUGAACUGAGGGUGGGGGUGAAAGGCUAAUCAAACUUGGAGAUAGCUCGUACUCCCCGAAAUGCAUUUAGGUGCAGCCUUGGGAAUUACUACUGUGAGGUAGAGCGACUGAUAAGAUGCGAGGGCUUCACCGCCUAUCAAGUCUUGAUAAACUCCGAAUGCGCAGUAGUUCGAUCCCAGGAGUGAGGGCAUGGGUGCUAAGGUCCAUGUCCUAAAGGAGAAGAAUCCGGACCAUCAGCUAAGGUCCCGAAAUAAUUGCUAAGUUGAACUAACGAAGUCAGAUUGCUAAGACAGCUAGGAUGUUGGCUUGGAAGCAGCCAUUCAUUUAAAGAGUGCGUAACAGCUCACUAGUCGAGGAGUUUGGCGUGGAUAAUAAUCGGGCAUCAAGUAUUCUACCGAAGCUUUGGGAUGUGUAAACAUCGGUAGGGGAGCAUUCCACUCGGCGUUGAAGGUGAGGCGUGAGCCUUGCUGGAGCGUGUGGAAAAGCAAAUGUAGGUAUAAGUAACGAUAAAGGGGGUGAGAAACCCCCUCGCCGAAAGACUAAGGUUUCCUGAUCAACGCUAAUCGGAUCAGGGUUAGUCGGGUCCUAAGGCUCAGCCGAACGGCGAGGCCGAUGGCAGAACCGGUUAAUAUUCCGGUACUACCUCAAGGAGUGACGUGGAGACGGAGCAGUGACAGUGCCGCGGACUGACGGAAUAGUCCGUUAAAGGGUGUAGAUGUUGAUUCCUGCAGGCAAAUCCGCAGGAAGAGUCGAACCUGACAGUAUGGAGCGUCUUUCGGGACAAUCCAAUAGUGCAUGUAAGCAUACUCCCGAGAAAAUCCGCUAAACUUAAUCCUUGUGGUACCCGUACCGCAAACGGACACACGUAGUCGGGUUGAAUAUACUAAGGCGCUUGAGUGAUUCACGGUUAAGGAACUAGGCAAAUUGACCCUGUAACUUCGGGAUAAAGGGUCCCAACGAGAGUUGGGCGCAGAGAAUAGGUCCAGGCAACUGUUUAACAAAAACACAGGGCUGUGCCAAAUUGAAAGAUUACGUAUACAGCCUGACACCUGCCCGGUGCUGGAAGGUUAAGAGGAGAUGUCAUCGCAAGAGAAGCAUUGAAUUGAAGCCCCAGUAAACGGCGGCCGUAACUAUAACGGUCCUAAGGUAGCGAAAUUCCUUGUCGGGUAAGUUCCGACCUGCACGAAUGGUGUAAUGAUCCGGACGCUGUCUCAACCAUGAGCUCAGUGAAAUUGUAGUAUCGGUGAAGAUGCCGAUUACCCGCGAUGGGACGAAAAGACCCCGUGAACCUUUACUAUAGCUUAACAUUGAAUUUGGGUAAUUGAUGUGUAGGAUAGGCCGGAGGCUUCGAAGCAGGUACGCCAGUAUUUGUGGAGCCGCUGUUGAAAUACGGCCCUUUGAUUAUUUGAGUUCUAACCCGCGGCUGCGGGGACACUGUUUGGUGGGUAGUUUGACUGGGGUGGUCGCCUCCAAAAGCGUAACGGAGGCUUCUAAAGGUGCCCUCACGACGAUUGGUAACCGUCGGCAGAGUGUAAUGGCAUAAGGGCGCUUGACUGGGAGACUUACAAGUCGAUCAGGUAGGAAACUAGAGCAUAGUGAUCCGGUGUUUCCGUAUGGAAGGGACAUCGCUCAACUUCACCUGUUUAUCAGCUAUUCAUUUCUUCAAUUUCGGCAGGAGUCAACAUUCUUGUUGCAACCUGAGUAAAGAGAAUUCCCUCAAGAUGGUCGAGUUCGUGACAAAAAGCCUUUGCAAGCAAAUCCUUGCCGUCAAUAACGAAUUCGUCACCGUGUCUGUCCUGAGCCUUAACCUUUACAUAAUCAGGUCUUACUGUGUAACCCCACUUGCCGGGGAUUGAAAGACAACCCUCAAGAGUUUCCUGCUUGCCGCUGUAAGCGAUGAUUUUCGGGUUUACAAGCUCAAUCGGACCUUCGCCGACAUCAAUAACCACAACUCUUCUUAAAAUUCCGACCUGAGGAGCGGCAAGUCCCACUCCCUCAGCCUUGUGCAAAGUUUCAAUCAUAU
RNAcentral lists this ribosomal RNA (2812 nucleotides) under human gut metagenome. RNAcentral's name for it is "bacterial LSU rRNA". The stretch from base 1 to 2484 matches the Rfam family "Bacterial large subunit ribosomal RNA". The record is from RNAcentral.